RNAcentral lists this ribosomal RNA (254 nucleotides) under uncultured bacterium. RNAcentral describes it as "partial 16S ribosomal RNA". It matches the Rfam family "Bacterial small subunit ribosomal RNA", at positions 524 to 776 of the family's 1533-position model. The record is from RNAcentral.
CACGUAGGGGGCAAGCGUUGUCCGGAUUUAUUGGGCGUAAAGAGCUCGUAGGCGGCUCACUAAGUCGGGUGUGAAAUUUCGAGGCUCAACCUCGAAACGCCACCCGAUACUGGUGUGGCUAGAGUCCGGUAGGGGAGCGUGGAAUUCCUGGUGUAGCGGUGAAAUGCGCAGAUAUCAGGAGGAACACCAGCGGCGAAGGCGGCGCUCUGGGCCGGUACUGACGCUGAGGAGCGAAAGCGUGGGGAGCAAACAGG